CUAGACCUAGAAACUAAUAUUUGGAUACUGUAGUCACAAUAUUCAAGCUUACUUCACCUUUCUAGUGCUUGUUAGACACUUUACUUUGUUGCUGUCCUUGCUUGUCCUUGGAUGUUCUGUAUGUCUGCUGAUUCGGUACCUUAUUGCCAACCCAGAUUGUCUCCUGUUUCCUCCAAAUGACUUUUGAAUUGCAGCCUGAAAGCUGUUAGUCUGUUUUGUCUCCCUUAUAUUGCGGUUAAAGGCUGAUUUUUUUUAUUUUAUUUUUACAUGCAAAUAUGACUAUUUAUGUGGUAAGGACAAUAUAAUUUUAUGUGUAACAUUUCUUUUUUUUUCUUUUUUU
Pelobates cultripes (western spadefoot toad) is the source of this 340-nucleotide non-coding RNA. NCBI's taxonomy places the organism in Eukaryota, Metazoa, Chordata, Amphibia, Anura, Pelobatidae. The record is from the annotation of a GenBank genome assembly.